Oryctolagus cuniculus (rabbit) is the source of this 8105-nucleotide non-coding RNA. The record is from RefSeq and is a predicted model, not a curated record. Lineage: Eukaryota; Metazoa; Chordata; Mammalia; Lagomorpha; Leporidae.
UUGCAUUGUUAGGGGUGUGGGGAGGGAAAGGGGAUGAAUGGACAUCAGUGUUUCCAGAAAAAUGUGUCUAUUGUUACCUCCCAGCAAAUGAUGAUGUGUUGGGAAGUCGCAGGCUCUGGGUGUCAGGAUGGGAACACAGCAAUGGGAAGAGUGGAACCGACAGCAGGAGGCCAGCAGGAAGCUUGGGUUUCAUUGGGGGUAUUUUAAACACUGCUGUUCUGGGGUCUUGGAGAAGUGAUUUUUCUUGCACUGAAACUUGUAAUCUUCAACUGUGCAUUAGACUUGGUUUGACUUGAGGUAAAAAAGGCGGUUAUGUAACAACAGUGCACCCGGUCAUUAUAUCCGGUUAGAAGAGUGUCUGUGAAUAAUUAUAUUUUUAGUGACUCCUUACAUAUCUAUAAACAGGGGUUGUGACUUCUGGUUACCCAAGGAACAGGUAAGCUAAUGGGUAAGGUUGGAGCCAGGAAAGAAUAGGUUUUGUCCCCCCUGCUUAUGUACAGAUGUCAAAUAUGACCCGUAAACUGAAGCAUAUCUCCAAUUUCAAAUUGCCAUUUAGCUUCCCCAGUGGUCCAGUUAAUUCAGUGUGCUUCCAUCUAGAAUCUGUGAUGUUUAGUGGUUGUUUGCUAGUAUCUCCAGUUACCAUUUUAUAUAAAGACAGUGAUCCUAGGGCCAGGCCAUUUUUGUCUUCCCUAAUGCCACAUGGUAUGACACUGGUGUUACCAAGGAGUGCAUUCCUCUCAGUUGUUGAUACUUCAGGAUACAGGUCUAAGUAUGCCUGUCUUUGAUGGCACCAACUUUAGCAACAAUGCAUAAUAAAUUUAUAUGUUGAAUAAAGCCUGUUUAAACUGGGCAAGGUUUUCAAGUUUGAAUCCAUGGAUUAAAAAAUAGCCAAGAAAAAAAAAAUAACCACUCCAGCUUCAGUGUAGACCACAUCAUCUGUGCACAAUUACCGCCUUAAGCAGCCACAUGUUGUACAGUGUAGUUGCAUGUCAACAGUGUGAAUGACUGGCCAAGGGGGGGCCUGUGGAGCUCUGGAAGAAUUUUCAUCAUUGUUAUUUAAUGUUCUUUCCAAGCAUUCCUCAAAGAGAGAAGGCCUGAGAGUUCCUAUUUAAAGAAGGAACAUUCCAAAUUAUGUUAAUAACCACGUGUGUAUUAAAGGCAACUUGGCCCCCAACUGUUUCUUCCUUGUGGAUGAUUUUAAAAGUCCAAAAUAUGUGGGAAGCCACAGUGAAAUCUUUCAAGACCUAAACCUCCAAUUAUUUCUACCACUAAUGGUUGGAAAGGUGGGGAUUGGAUGGGGCAGUGUAGGGAUCUGAAGCUUGAGUCUCACCUAGGGUGGGAUGUGGGCUCCUUGGCAAUUUUUCAUGGCUUGCAGCUUGAGAUAGGUGGGAGAAUGGAUGGGGAUUUUUGUUUUUUUAAUCCUCAGCCGUGUCUGAAUGUUGCCAUUACCAGCUUCAUGCAUGCAGGGGGAGACUUUCAUUCAUGGAAGGAAUAAAUUGCUGAACUGGGUGACCAGGGUUGUGUUCUUAGAACUGCCAUUCACAAAACUUAAGCAAGUCACAAAUAGGAGCCAUAUUAUUCCCAAGCUUGCAUUUAUCAGAUGAAGGGGAGAAUUUUCUAAUUUCAUAAUGAUCAAUGAGGGUUGAGUAGAUUGAUUUCUCAAGGAACUGGUCCUUUAUAUUCUGGGUCUUUCUUGAUUUUCUCUAUAUACAUAGUAGGUGUAUUAGCAUUCUGCUCUGUUGGUAAGAAUUUCAAGACAUAUUAUAAAGAGUUUGAAGGACGAUGUGAAUUUUAUAGUAAAACCAAAGUCUCAAAAACAAGUUCCUGGUUAGUUUCAAGUGAGAGAUUUUAAUAUUGACUAAGAGAAAAUAAGCAUCUUGAAAUAUAUCAAACAUGUGAAAUCCCACUAAGAAUGUGUUGUGUAUUAUGUUAGGUUGAGGCUUUAUGAUCACAACUGUUUUGAAAGGGUUAAAAUAGAAGAUUAUUAGGAGAGUGACACACAGACAGAGAUAGAUCCCCUCCACCUCUACAGAGAAAGAGAGAAUGAAUAUACGAAAUGAUAUCCAAGACAUUCAUAGACUCAAAAGUAUGUUUUUGUUGUGAUACAGACUAUCAAGUGCCAGGAAAUUCAAAGGGAAAUGCUUACACUCUGUCCUUAAUUCAUGCCAUGGAAUCUGAAUUCUUGUGCUAUUAUAAAUGACUCAGCAAAUGUUUGCGUGGGCCUGGGUGGUAAAGUGGAAAUAGUGGCUUCUAACUUUGUCCAAUUCUGACUUAUCCCAACUCUUUUGAUUGACAGCAGGUCAGAAUUGGGAGAAAAAGGCCUUUGAAUGUGUGUGCAGAAUGGUAAGAUGCACUAAUUUUGACUUGUAAGCAAGUGUUGAACUAGCAGAUGCUUUUUAGAGGCAUCCCAAGCCACCCCCCAAAAUGAGGAAUUCACUAAGUUGGCUACUGAGUCCUGUUUACCAAGCUAAAUAAGGUUUUAUAACAUGAGAUACUACCCUCCCCAUCUGGAAGGUCAUGAAAUUGAGGUGCCAGGAUGCUACUUAUAACAUGGGCUUGGCCACAGGUGCAGCAGGAAUGUGUGAAUCAGUUCUUUGCAGAGUGGACAGUGAGAGAGAGAGAGAGACUGAGAGAAAGGUCUUCCUUUUCUGUUGGUUCACCCCCCAAUGGCCACUGCGGCCGGCACGCUGUGGCCAGCGCACCGCACUGAUCUGAAGCCAGGAGCCAGGUGCUUCUCCUGGUCUCCCAUGGGGUGCAGGGCCCAAGGACCUGGGCCAUCCUCCACUGCCUUCCCGGGCCACAGCAGAGAGCUGGACUGGAAGAGGAGCAACUGGGACAGAAUCCGGCGCCCCGACUGGGACUAGAACCCGGUGUGCCGGUGCCGCAGGCAGAGGAUUAGCCUAUUGAGCCAUGGCGUCAGCCUAUUGUAUUGCAGAUGAGAUCCAUCUACACAUACAUGUGCACACAGAUAGUCUUGGAACCAGAAGUGGUCAAGAUAUGCAACCUGAAUUCUUACUACUAGAUGACCUGCAUUACAAAAGCCUGCUUUCCCAGAUCCUACUGCUGUAUUCCAGCAUCCUGUUGAUGCACACCCUGGGAGGCAACAGAUGAUGGCUCAACUACUUGAGUUGCUGACACCCACGUGGGAGAUCUGUAUUGACUUCCUGGCUCCUGGAUUUGGCCAGACCUAGUCCCUGCCAUUGCAGGCACUUGAGAAGUUAACCAGUGAUGGGGAGUUCUAUUAAGUUUUGGGGCAGAUGGCCUAAAGGUUAAGACACACAACUUGGGAAGCCCACAUCUCAUUUUGGAGUGCCUGCAUUCAAGUCUGGGCUGGAUUCUAGUUUCUCAGGUGAUUGGGUCCCUACCACACUGUGAAAAACCUGGAUUGAGUUCCUGGCUCCUGGCUUCAGCCUGCCAUAAUAUGGCCCAAGCAGAGUAGGUGGGAAUGGAAGUUCUAAGUCUCUGGCAGGUCCUGAGGCAGUAGUGGUGACACGGUGUUCUUGAGAGAUGACUCCAGCACUGCAGAUCAUCAACUGUGAUGGCCUUGAAGACAUGGCUACAGUUCUCACAUGGCUGUGCGUAUGGUUAAGGCCAGCUAGUUCUAGCCUGAGAAUGCAAUCAGAAAGUCAGCUAAGGCCAGAGUAUGUAAAUUAUCCUCUUUAUGACUAGAAUUUUGUAGGUAGUUUAUAUUUUGUUAUACCUGGGUAUAUUCUACCAAUUUUUUUUGACAGGCAGAGUGGGCAGUGAGAGAGAGACAGAGAGAAAGGUCUUCCUUUUUCCGUUGGUUCACCCUCCCCCACAAUGGCCACUGCGGCUGGUGCACCGCACUGAUCUGAAGCCAGGAGCCAGGUGUUUCUCCUGGUCUCCCAUGUGGGUGCAGGGCCCAAGGACUGCACUCCCGGGCCACAGCAGAGAGCUGUGCAGGAAGAGGAGCAACCAGGACAGAAUCCGGCGCCCUGACUGGGACUAGAACCUGGUGUGCCUGCGCCGCAGGCGGAGGAUUGGCCUAUUGAGCCGCGGCACCAGCCUACCAAUAUUUUUUACUUUUUUUUUUUUUUUAAGAUUUAUUUUAUUUAUCUGAAAGGCACAGUUACAGAGAGAGAUUUGGAGAGACAUGGGGUUGAAAGAGAGAAAGCGCGGGGGGGGGGGGAGGUGCGGGGAGGAGAUCCUCUGGUUCACUCCCCAGAUUGCCACAACGGCCAGGGCUGGCCCAGACAGAACCCAGGAGCUGCUUCUGGGUCGCCCAUGUGGUUGCAGGUGCCCAAGCAUUUGGGCCAUCCUCCAAUGCUUUCCCAGGUGCAUCAGUAGGGAGCCAGAUCAGAAGUGGAACAACUGAACUCCACCCAUAAGGGAUGCCAGUGUAGCAGGUGGCAGUUUUAUGCCACAAUGCCAGGCCCUUUACUGUCUUCUAAAAAGUGACUUGUACUAUCCUCUGAUUUUUAUAAAAGCAUUACAUGUCUUCAUUAGAACUUUUGUAAAGCGCAUAAAUUAGGGGGCCGGCGCCGUGGGGCACUCUGUUAAUCCUCCGCCUGCAGCACCGGCAUCUCAUAUGGGCGCCGGGUUCUAGUUCCAGUUGCUUCUCUUCCAGUCCUACUCUCUACUGUGGCCCUGGAAGGCAGUGGAGGAUGGCCCAGGUGCUUGCGCCCCUGCACCCGCAUGGGAGACCAGGAGGAAGCACCUGGCUCCUGGCUUUGGAUCGGCGCAGCGCCAGCCGUAGCGGCCAUUUGGGGAGUGAACCAACGGAAGGAAGACCUUUCUGUCUCUCUUUCUCACUGUCUGUAACUCUACCUGUAAAAAAAAAAAAAAAAGCACAUAAAUUAUUUAAAAAUUUAAAAUCACAACAUCCUUAUCAGGCAAGAAUAGUAGCUUUGACUUCUACAGAUAAUUCCUUCUAAUGUUUUCUGUUCAUCUGUAUUUUGCCUGUUACCAAAUCAGAAAAACAUCCUGUGCAUAUUUCUGUGGGGUGAUUUCCUCUCUAAUUAUACUGUGUGACCCUGCAUCAUUAAACAGUGAUUGAAAACACUGUAAUUAAUGACUGUAUCAUGUUCCAUUUUAUGCACAGCUGUGUGAGGUGGUAUGUGUAGGGGUAUCAGAUCAUAGACAGGGUCAGACUCCCUGGGUCUGAACUGUGGCUCUGCUGACUGACAGCUGGGCGUCUAUGAGCAACUUACUGAAUGGCUGUGUUUCUGUUUCCUCAGUUCUCAAAUGAGAUUAAAAUCAAAUUCAUAGGGCUCUUUUCAAGAUCAACUGAAUGUGUUUAUCAAAUAUUUGGAAUAGUGUUGGGCUUAAGGUGAGUGUUAGACAUGAUAUCAUUAUCAUAUCAUGAUAUAAUGAUAUUAUUAAUAUGCUGUUCAAAAAGGUUAUUUUUCAUUUCUAUCACUGAAAAUUAAGUCUUUUUUCCAGCUGAAUAUUUCCUCAGAAGUAGAAAAACAGAGACAAGAGAAUUUAACAUACAAUUAAAUUGCGUUCCCCAAACGUUGCAAGAUUCUAUCUUCCCACUUCCAACUUAGGAGCUUGUCUAUCUCACCACAUUGUUGACGGCGCAGUUUCCUGUGGCAAUGAUCUUCAGGUGCUAACAAAUAUUUCUAGAAGAAAGAACUCCAUGGUCAUCUGGAAGUGUUAUGCUACACCCUUGGAGAGACAUCUUGCACAUUAGCUUGUGGAAGCAUCGGAACAUCAAAGUUUUAAUGCUAUUUCAUCCAGGGUUCUCAAAAAAGAUGUGAGCACAUAGAGAUACUUCCUCCUGCUCUUUAUUGAGAAGAACUUAUGACAGACACAGCAUUUUAAUGAAACCAUAACAAUUGUGAACUACUUUAUAUUAGUAGAUAAAUGACUAAAAAUAUAGAAUAUAUCCACUUGAGUCAAGUUAUAUCUCUCAAUAAUUUCAAAAGACAUGCUCUUUAGUUCAGUCUUUAAAAAUGAAGUAAUGAGUUCAGAGUCAAACACAACUUGUGGAGUGGAUUCUAUUUAGUUCUUUCACAACUUUUGAUACUGUUAGAUAUUUCACACUUGAAGCAACUACAAACAAUACAUAAGUAGAGCUACAGGUGGUUUCAUGUUUCAGUGAAACUCAGAGAGUUUCUAGACCUGACUGCUCCACUUCCAGUCCAUCUCCCUGCUAAUGAGCCAAGAAAAGUAUUGAACCCACAUAGGAGACCUGGCUCCUGGCUUUAUACUGGCCCAACUCCAGCUGUUGCGGCCAUCUGGGGAGUGAACCAGUGGAUGGAAGUCUCCACUCAAGUCUCCAUGUUCUCAUUUUGUUUGGAUCUCUCUUCUCUCUUACUCUGGUGUCCGUCAUGUUUUUCUCUUGCUGGUCCAUGGCAGAUGAGUCACUGCUGCCAAGUUCUCAGUUUCCCUUACCACUAUUUGGCAGUCACCCUUGCUAAUUUAUCAGUCUCUACGUCUACAACAGUCAAGCUUCAGUUGACUAACUCCUAAUUUACUAUGAAACAUAUUUUAUGAACUGCUCUUUUUCUUAAAAUUUUUUCUCUACUAAUUAAAUAGACAUAGUACUGAGGAGCUUGCUUCAUAUAUGAAAAUACUUUCAACCAAACCCCUUGCUAUUAAUUGUCUAUGCAUUUCUAUGACUUGCUCCAAAAUGCCAUGACUUCAAUCCUGACUCUAGAAGGUUGAGUGUUCCUUAGAGGAUUCCCCACCCAUGCUCAGGAAACUCUAUUACUGUAGAACAGCUUUUAUUCUCCUUCACCCCCUAUUUAUCUUACUGUAGUAAAUAGAGAUGAGUCAGUCUACUUGUUGUAAUAAGGAUACUUAAAAUGACAAAGUCUGCAUUUCAGAGAACCAGGUUUUAUAGUAUAUGACUUCUCGUUUACAUAAUGAGGCACUUAAGUGAUUUCUGGUGACAUCAAGAUUGGGACUUGGGAAAAAUAAAGCAAAUGGCUUUCCACUCUGGGAAAUAAUUGGUUCUUUUUUUUCCUUAAGAUUUAUUUAUUUAGUUGAAAGGCAGAGAGGGAGAAGCAGAGUCAGAGACAGAGAGAGAUUUUCCAUCCACUGGUUCACUCCCCAAAUGGCUGCGACAGCUGGGGCUGAGCUGAUCUGAAGCCAGGAGCCAGGAGCUUCUUCCGGGUCUCCCUUGUGGGUACAGGGGCCCAAGGACUUGGGCCAUCUUCCAAUAGUUUUCCUGGCUCACUAGCAAGGAGCUGGACUGGAGGUGGAGCAGCCAGGUCUAGAACUGGUGCCCAUAUGGGAUGCUGGUGCUGCAGGUGGUGGCCUUAACCUGCUAUGCCACAGUGUCAGCCCUGGUUGGACUUGCCAUAGGAACUAACUGAUGAGAUCUGGAACAUAGAUACUGUUGCCUACAGUUUUCAAUAUUGGGUGAGGAUUAUGAUGUGAUUUAUUUCAGAAAAGAACACGGUUUAAUGUAUGAGUUAUACAUGGGAUAAAUUCAAGGCUCCAUUGCAAGGAAUAUACAAUACCUGCAUACCAUCUGUACAGUUUGUAAGCUUAAUAGAUGUUUUACAAAUUAGGUGCUCGAAGAAUACAAUGGUCAGCAAGAUAGUAUCUCUGCUUAUAUUUUGGUAGGAAAGACAUAAAACAAAUGAAUAAAUAAAUAAUGGAAACCACAGAUAAGGAUGACACUGCUCCACAGAGGAUUAAAAUGAGUUAAUAGAAAGUGUUCCAUAGCUGAGGCAGCUCAUGUCAAGAGCCUUAGGUGAUUACUGAUGUCAUACAUAAGAGUGUUAAUUGUUAAAUAAACAAUAAGAGUCACUGUGCACCAACUUCCCAUGCAGGACCUCUGUCCCUAAAGAGUUGUAUCAUGAGACUUAAUAGUCAAACUUGUUCUCAAGAAUCACUUCCUUUUAGUGUAUUAAAUGGGGAUAUCAUUAUGUCUCAUAAGUUAUACUUAUGUCUAAGAGCUCACAAAAGAUGUAUCAUCCUUGGGUUCUUUUUUAAAGACAAUUAAGUUUUCUAAAAGGAAAGAAGAGGAGGAAGGAAGGGAAAAGAGAAAGGGGGGGAAAAGCGAAAUCACCUUUGAGAAGCAACAACAGAACAGCCCUUGUCUAGACUUUUGAGUUUUUUUAAUUCCAUUCUUCCUUUUUUUCUUUCUUUCUGUUUCUUUUUCUUUCUAGGACUAAACAGAAGAAGGA